UGGGGAAUUUUGGACAAUGGGCGCAAGCCUGAUCCAGCAAUGCCGCGUGCAGGAUGAAGGCCUUCGGGUUGUAAACUGCUUUUGGACGGAACGAAAAGGCUCUGGUUAAUACCUGGGGCUCAUGACGGUACCGUAAGAAUAAGCACCGGCUAACUACGUGCCAGCAGCCGCGGUAAUACGUAGGGUGCAAGCGUUAAUCGGAAUUACUGGGCGUAAAGCGUGCGCAGGCGGUUAUGCAAGACAGAGGUGAAAUCCCCGGGCUCAACCUGGGAACUGCCUUUGUGACUGUAUAGCUAGAGUACGGUAGAGGGGGAUGGAAUUCCGCGUGUAGCAGUGAAAUGCGUAGAUAUGCGGAGGAACACCGAUGGCGAAGGCAAUCCCCUGGACCUGUACUGACGCUCAUGCACGAAAGCGUGGGGAGCAAACA
This 427-nucleotide ribosomal RNA is filed under the name uncultured bacterium. RNAcentral describes it as "bacterial SSU rRNA". It matches the Rfam family "Bacterial small subunit ribosomal RNA", at positions 355 to 774 of the family's 1533-position model. The record is from RNAcentral.